Molecule: ribosomal RNA, 1357 nt
Filed under: uncultured bacterium
Lineage: Bacteria
Description: 16S ribosomal RNA
Rfam family: Bacterial small subunit ribosomal RNA
Source: RNAcentral
AUGAACGCUAGCUACAGGCUUAACACAUGCAAGUCGAGGGGCAGCAUGGUCUUAGCUUGCUAAGGCCGAUGGCGACCGGCGCACGGGUGAGUAACACGUAUCCAACCUGCCGUCUACUCUUGGACAGCCUUCUGAAAGGAAGAUUAAUACAAGAUGGCAUCAUGAGUCCACAUGUUCACAUGAUUAAAGGUAUUCCGGUAGAUGAUGGGGAUGCGUUCCAUUAGAUAGUAGGCGGGGUAACGGCCCACCUAGUCUUCGAUGGAUAGGGGUUCUGAGAGGAAGGUCCCCCACAUUGGAACUGAGACACGGUCCAAACUCCUACGGGAGGCAGCAGUGAGGAAUAUUGGUCAAUGGGCGAGAGCCUGAACCAGCCAAGUAGCGUGAAGGAUGACUGCCCUAUGGGUUGUAAACUUCUUUUAUAAAGGAAUAAAGUCGGGUAUGGAUACCCGUUUGCAUGUACUUUAUGAAUAAGGAUCGGCUAACUCCGUGCCAGCAGCCGCGGUAAUACGGAGGAUCCGAGCGUUAUCCGGAUUUAUUGGGUUUAAAGGGAGCGUAGAUGGAUGUUUAAGUCAGUUGUGAAAGUUUGCGGCUCAACCGUAAAAUUGCAGUUGAUACUGGAUAUCUUGAGUGCAGUUGAGGCAGGCGGAAUUCGUGGUGUAGCGGUGAAAUGCUUAGAUAUCACGAAGAACUCCGAUUGCGAAGGCAGCCUGCUAAGCUGCAACUGACAUUGAGGCUCGAAAGUGUGGGUAUCAAACAGGAUUAGAUACCCUGGUAGUCCACACGGUAAACGAUGAAUACUCGCUGUUUGCGAUAUACUGCAAGCGGCCAAGCGAAAGCGUUAAGUAUUCCACCUGGGGAGUACGCCGGCAACGGUGAAACUCAAAGGAAUUGACGGGGGCCCGCACAAGCGGAGGAACAUGUGGUUUAAUUCGAUGAUACGCGAGGAACCUUACCCGGGCUUAAAUUGCAGAUGAAUUACGGUGAAAGCCGUAAGCCGCAAGGCAUCUGUGAAGGUGCUGCAUGGUUGUCGUCAGCUCGUGCCGUGAGGUGUCGGCUUAAGUGCCAUAACGAGCGCAACCCUUGUUGUCAGUUACUAACAGGUUCCGCUGAGGACUCUGACAAGACUGCCAUCGUAAGAUGUGAGGAAGGUGGGGAUGACGUCAAAUCAGCACGGCCCUUACGUCCGGGGCUACACACGUGUUACAAUGGGGGGUACAGAGGGCCGCUACCACGCGAGUGGAUGCCAAUCCCCAAAACCUCUCUCAGUUCGGACUGGAGUCUGCAACCCGACUCCACGAAGCUGGAUUCGCUAGUAAUCGCGCAUCAGCCACGGCGCGGUGAAUACGUUCCCGGGCCU